UUAGUUGACAUUUGUCCGGGUUAGGGUUUACAAAGUUAUAUGUACGGUACAAGGAAGGGGAUUUGCCGCUCAGCGCGGGCUACUGAGAGAGAUACAUGUUUAUGUGCUUGCGGCCUCACAUCCAAUCCUAUAAUUUGAAUCAUUUUUGCAUGUAGUGAUUCUCUGUUUCUGUCCUCUUAAUCUCAGAUAUUCAUGGAUUAUUUUUCUGGGUUUAAUGCUAUUUUGUGAGCUAAAAUCGAUUUUGUCCUAGAAAAUGGACUGGAUUUUCUAAAAGUUCAAUGAAGUUUCCUGCUUAAACUACUGAUUAUUGGAUUUUGGUUUAAUCGAUUUUUUUUUUCGGUGAGUUGGUUUCAUCAAUUUUUCUAUGGUUUGUUUAGUCUUCCUAUUCCUACUCAUAUAUGUAUGUAAAUGUAUAAUCCAGUGAAUUUAAAGAUGUUAAUUGGUGGGGUUGGGAGGAAGGAGUUGUUGGAUCACUCAUGCAAAGAUGAUUUGAAUUAUUGCUUGGUGUUGUGAGCAACGAGCACUUCCAACAUCUUAGAGGAAGAAAUAUUGCCCUCUUAACGCAAGAGUAAUGCAUCUUUUUGUAUUGUGCGACUUCUUUGAAGAACCCAAGGCCAUAAAUGGAAAGGCUAUCACCCACUGUGGACCCCGUUAAUCACGGCAAGACACAGAUACAAUAGCGUAUUGUGAUGGAUCUAUUGAAUCCCUCAUUCCUUGGGAGAAGAAAAUCACUUUUUCAGAUUCCUCUGGUGAUUUUUGUAGCUCAUCUUUGAUCGGUGACAACAAGAAUUAGCAUUAUUGGUGCCACACUGCUGUCUGUUCAUGAUGAAUUGAAUGGAGGGAAUAAAGAUGCACUUUCAUUGUGGCAUUGGUUAACAAUGACAGUUUUAGAAGGCAAGCUUGGAUCACUGAUGCCAGAUCUAUGAAAUAUGGGCCAUAUUUUAAGACGAGUACAGAAAAAAAACAUAGAAUCUGAAUGCUGGGUAUGCUCUGCUUAACCCAUUUUUAUUGAUGAUUUUAAGAUUAUAGACAAGUGCAGCAUGGCAUUAUAGUUUUCUUUCUUACUCGGAUCAAAUAGAGGGAAGAAAGAUGCUCUUGUGAUGCUGAAUAAUAUAUUCAAUUGAGCUGAACAAAGAGCAGGUCUUUGAGUGCUGUGCUGUAAAUGGCAAAAGGCCUUGGUUUCCAAAAAGGGAACAUGUUUGGCAAAGAAGACAUUGGUAGAUUUUGUAAAUAUGCACUUUGACAUUUUAAAUAGUCAGCCAGGAUACAAUUCGUCAAGAAUGGAUGUGAUGGAUCAGAAGGAUUGGUUCAGCUCGUCCAGAUUGUGUUGGAUUUAUCAUUUUUUGAUGAGCAGACUCCUGGACCAGUUUAUGUAGCUCAUCUGGGCUUGCAUGCUCUCCAGCCUGGGAAAGUUGAAGAAAUGUAUAAUUACCCUUUGGAAGAUACAAGGGAUGCGUUGAUGAAAGCAUGAUCAAUCAAGUAAGGAACGGCGUCGUUUACAGAGUUGAUUGGGAAGUCCUUUGGUUUCUGGUACGAGUAAAAAAAUGGCUACAAGACCGAGGGUGGAAAAACCGGCAAAGAGGAAGAAUGUGCCGGCAGAACCAAGGGUCUUGGUCAACGACAAGAACGUCUUGCUCAUGAUGGGGUUCGAGACCCAGUUGGAAACUGCAGCUAUUGGGUUGUUGGAUCACUCAUGCAAAGAUGAUUUGAAUUAUUGUUUGGUGUUGUGAGCAGCAAGCACUACCAAGAACAUCUAAAGAAGAAGUAUUGCCCUCUUGACACAAAACCAGGAUACGGACUCAUCAAGAAUGGAUGUUCUGGAUCUGAUGGAUUAGGUCAGCUUGUCCAGAUUCUGUUGGAUUUAUCCUUUUUGGGCGAGCAGACUCCUCUACCAGUUUAUGUAACUCAUCGGGGCUUGCAUUCUCUCCAGUGUGCCUUUGGAAGAUACAAGGGAUGUGAAAGCGUGAUCGAUCAGUCCUUUGGUUUCUGGUACAAGUAAAUAAAUGGCUAUAAGACCGAGGAAUGAAAAACCAGCAAAGAGGAGGAAUGUGCCAGCAGAGCCAAGGGCCUCGGUCAACGACAAGAAUGUCUCGCUCACGAUAAGGUUGGAGG
Long non-coding RNA from Cornus florida, 2112 nucleotides. RefSeq lists it as uncharacterized. The transcript is spliced from 6 exons. The record is from RefSeq and is a predicted model, not a curated record. Lineage: Eukaryota; Viridiplantae; Streptophyta; Magnoliopsida; Cornales; Cornaceae.